UGGCUCAGAACGAACGCUGGCGGCAGGCCUAAUACAUGCAAGUCGAACGAUCCUUCGGGAUAGUGGCGGACGGGUGAGUAACACGUGGGAACGUGCCCUUAGGUUCGGAACAACUCAGGGAAACUUGAGCUAAUACCGAAUGUGCCCUACGGGGGAAAGAUUUAUCGCCUUUGGAGCGGCCCGCGUCUGAUUAGCUAGUUGGUGAGGUAAAGGCUCACCAAGGCGGCAAUCAGUAGCUGGUCUGAGAGGAUGAUCAGCCACACUGGGACUUCGCCACGGCCCAGAAUCCUACGGGAGGC
Molecule: ribosomal RNA, 299 nt
Filed under: uncultured Caulobacteraceae bacterium
Lineage: Bacteria; Pseudomonadati; Pseudomonadota; Alphaproteobacteria; Caulobacterales; Caulobacteraceae
Description: partial 16S ribosomal RNA
Rfam family: Bacterial small subunit ribosomal RNA
Source: RNAcentral